This 105-nucleotide small RNA is filed under the name Epilithonimonas mollis. Its description in RNAcentral is "Chryseobacterium molle Flavo-1 RNA". It matches the Rfam family "Flavo-1 RNA". Lineage: Bacteria; Pseudomonadati; Bacteroidota; Flavobacteriia; Flavobacteriales; Weeksellaceae. The record is from RNAcentral.
GAAAAGCGAUAGGGAUAGUAGUGGAAAUCCUUUUUAUAAAGAUUUGGAUGAGGACAGAAGUUGGGAAUCUUUAUAAAAAGAUUGUAACGGAUAGCCCGGUCUCGC